This 785-nucleotide ribosomal RNA is filed under the name Ramularia unterseheri. Its description in RNAcentral is "eukaryotic LSU rRNA". It matches the Rfam family "Eukaryotic large subunit ribosomal RNA", at positions 82 to 898 of the family's 3401-position model. The record is from RNAcentral. Lineage: Eukaryota; Fungi; Ascomycota; Dothideomycetes; Mycosphaerellales; Mycosphaerellaceae.
AGUAACGGCGAGUGAAGCGGCAACAGCUCAAAUUUGAAAUCUGGCGCAAGCCCGAGUUGUAAUUUGUAGAGGAUGCUUCUAGGUAGCGACCGGUCUAAGUUCCUUGGAACAGGACGUCAUAGAGGGUGAGAAUCCCGUAUGUGACUGGCCCGCACCUUCUACGUAGCUCCUUCGACGAGUCGAGUUGUUUGGGAAUGCAGCUCUAAAUGGGAGGUAAAUUUCUUCUAAAGCUAAAUACCGGCCAGAGACCGAUAGCGCACAAGUAGAGUGAUCGAAAGAUGAAAAGCACUUUGGAAAGAGAGUUAAAAAGCACGUGAAAUUGUUGAAAGGGAAGCGCUCACAACCAGACUUCUAGGCAGUGUUCCGCCGGUCUUUUGACCGGUCUACUCUCUGUCUCGAGGCCAACAUCAUCUGGGACCGCUGGAUAAGACCUUAGGAAUGUAGCUCCCCUCGGGGAGUGUUAUAGCCUCUGGUGAUGCAGCGAGUCUCGGGUGAGGUCCGCGCUUCGGCAAGGAUGUUGGCGUAAUGGUUGUCAGCGGCCCGUCUUGAAACACGGACCAAGGAGUCUAACAUCUAUGCGAGUGUUCGGGUGUCAAACCCCUACGCGUAAUGAAAGUGAACGGAGGUGGGAAGCGUAAGCUGCACCAUCGACCGAUCCUGAUGUCCUCGGAUGGAUUUGAGUAAGAGCAUAGCUGUUGGGACCCGAAAGAUGGUGAACUAUGCCUGAAUAGGGUGAAGCCAGAGGAAACUCUGGUGGAGGCUCGCAGCGGUUCUGACGUGCAAAU